RNAcentral lists this transfer RNA (98 nucleotides) under Nocardia asteroides. RNAcentral describes it as "tRNA-Ala(cgc)". The record is from RNAcentral. Lineage: Bacteria; Bacillati; Actinomycetota; Actinomycetes; Mycobacteriales; Nocardiaceae.
CCGCUGAUCUGGUCGACGGCCCGCACCACCGGCUCGCCGUCGGUGACCGUGGCGGCGCGGUCGGCCCAGCCGUCGGUCUCGGUGUCGAUCACCGGGCC